This 73-nucleotide transfer RNA is filed under the name Plantactinospora sp. CNZ320. RNAcentral's name for it is "tRNA-Ala". It matches the Rfam family "tRNA". From Rfam's summary of the family: Transfer RNA (tRNA) molecules are approximately 80 nucleotides in length. Their secondary structure includes four short double-helical elements and three loops (D, anti-codon, and T loops). The record is from RNAcentral. Lineage: Bacteria; Bacillati; Actinomycetota; Actinomycetes; Micromonosporales; Micromonosporaceae.
UGGGCAGUAGCGCAGAGGUCGUCGCGUCGCCUGAUCAGGGCGGAGGACGUCGGUUCGAAUCCGUCCUGCCCAU